GGUGGUCAGGAUGAAUGAUAUGAUA
Molecule: non-coding RNA, 25 nt
Filed under: Rattus norvegicus (Norway rat)
Lineage: Eukaryota; Metazoa; Chordata; Mammalia; Rodentia; Muridae
Source: RNAcentral